Molecule: ribosomal RNA, 254 nt
Filed under: uncultured bacterium
Lineage: Bacteria
Description: partial 16S ribosomal RNA
Rfam family: Bacterial small subunit ribosomal RNA
Source: RNAcentral
GACGUAGGGGGCGAACGUUAUCCGGAUUUAUUGGGCGUAAAGGAUGCGUAGACGGUAAAAUAAGUUAUUAGUUAACGCCAAGCUCAACUUGGCUGAAGCUAGUAAUACUGUUUUGCUAGAGGAUGGGAGAGGUUGAUGGAAGUAUAUGUGGAGCGGUAAAAUGUGUAGAUAUAUGGAAGAAGACCAAUAGCGGCGAAGGCAGUUAACUAGUCUGUUACUGACAUUGAGGCACGAAAGCGUGGGGAGCAAAAAGG